This 357-nucleotide unclassified non-coding RNA is filed under the name fungal sp. Its description in RNAcentral is "partial internal transcribed spacer region". The stretch from base 1 to 46 matches the Rfam family "Eukaryotic small subunit ribosomal RNA", at positions 1786 to 1831 of the family's 1831-position model. The record is from RNAcentral. Lineage: Eukaryota; Fungi.
AAGUCGUAACAAGGUUUCCGUAGGUGAACCUGCGGAAGGAUCAUUAACACGUUUUACCGAACGUUUUUUGAACCAUCAUUUUCUGUGCACCCCCUAACCCGGCCUCCCGACCGAACCCUCCGGUUUACUGGUUGUGUUCGUGCCGGGCGUCUACAGGGUCCAAGGAGCCUCGGAUCAGAAGGAUUGUGCGGGCGUAAUGCCUGUCUUUCUUAGUAUGGCUGAAGCACCUCCUGUAGGCGUUGCCACCCAACCCCAAACCUUGAAUCUAACUGUUCUGAACUGUUAGUUGUGCCGACUUCGGUUGUGCCAACGAUUAAAAAUCAACAACAACUCUUAACAACGGAUAUCUUGGUUCUC